ACACUCCUGCGGGAGGCAGCAGUGGGGAAUAUUGCACAAUGGGCGCAAGCCUGAUGCAGCCAUGCCGCGUGUAUGAAGAAGGCCUUCGGGUUGUAAAGUACUUUCAGCGGGGAGGAAGGCGAUAAGGUUAAUAACCUUGUUGAUUGACGUUACCCGCAGAAGAAGCACCGGCUAACUCCGUGCCAGCAGCCGCGGUAAUACGGAGGGUGCAAGCGUUAAUCGGAAUUACUGGGCGUAAAGCGCACGCAGGCGGUCUGUCAAGUCGGAUGUGAAAUCCCCGGGCUCAACCUGGGAACUGCAUUCGAAACUGGCAGGCUAGAGUCUUGUAGAGGGGGGUAGAAUUCCAGGUGUAGCGGUGAAAUGCGUAGAGAUCUGGAGGAAUACCGGUGGCGAAGGCGGCCCCCUGGACAAAGACUGACGCUCAGGUGCGAAAGCAUGGGGAGCAAACAGGAUUAGAAACCCCAGUAGUCCCAUG
This 475-nucleotide ribosomal RNA is filed under the name uncultured organism. RNAcentral describes it as "partial 16S ribosomal RNA". It matches the Rfam family "Bacterial small subunit ribosomal RNA", at positions 333 to 799 of the family's 1533-position model. The record is from RNAcentral.